This 747-nucleotide ribosomal RNA is filed under the name Vibrio sp. HD19MT. Its description in RNAcentral is "bacterial SSU rRNA". It matches the Rfam family "Bacterial small subunit ribosomal RNA", at positions 367 to 1105 of the family's 1533-position model. Lineage: Bacteria; Pseudomonadati; Pseudomonadota; Gammaproteobacteria; Vibrionales; Vibrionaceae. The record is from RNAcentral.
GAGCAUGGGCGCAGCCUGAUGCAGCCAUGCCGCGUGUAUGAAGAAGGCCUUCGGGUUGUAAAGUACUUUCAGUUGUGAGGAAGGGGGUGUUGUUAAUAGCAACAUCUCUUGACGUUAGCAACAGAAGAAGCACCGGCUAACUCCGUGCCAGCAGCCGCGGUAAUACGGAGGGUGCGAGCGUUAAUCGGAAUUACUGGGCGUAAAGCGCAUGCAGGUGGUUCAUUAAGUCAGAUGUGAAAGCCCGGGGCUCAACCUCGGAACUGCAUUUGAAACUGGUGAACUAGAGUACUGUAGAGGGGGGUAGAAUUUCAGGUGUAGCGGUGAAAUGCGUAGAGAUCUGAAGGAAUACCAGUGGCGAAGGCGGCCCCCUGGACAGAUACUGACACUCAGAUGCGAAAGCGUGGGGAGCAAACAGGAUUAGAUACCCUGGUAGUCCACGCCUUUAUACGAUGUCUACUUGGAGGUUGUGGCCUUGAGCCGUGGCUUUCGGAGCUAACGCGUUAAGUAGACCGCCUGGGGAGUACGGUCGCAAGAUUAAAACUCAAAUGAAUUGACGGGGGCCCGCACAAGCGGUGGAGCAUGUGGUUUAAUUCGAUGCAACGCGAAGAACCUUACCUACUCUUGACAUCCAGAGAAUCCAGGGGAGACGCAGGAGUGCCUUCGGGAGCUCUGAGACAGGUGCUGCAUGGGCUGUCGUCAGCUCGUGUCGCCACAUGUUGGGUUAAGUCCCGCAACGAGCGCAACGCU